Long non-coding RNA from Papio anubis (olive baboon), 2839 nucleotides. Lineage: Eukaryota; Metazoa; Chordata; Mammalia; Primates; Cercopithecidae. The record is from Ensembl.
AUGGGAAGGACUCUUCUUGUCCACAUGUCACUGGUGCCUGGGGUUCUGGCAGUCUCCCAGGAGAGAAAUCAAGAGAUAUCACCAAACAUAGCAGCAAAGGAUCAUAUCCUCAACCCCCAAAGAGGAGCAGGCCACCUUUGCCAUGACUCUCAGCCUCGUCACCAACCUGAGGCUUACCCGGUCAUCCGGAUCUUUCCUUCACCUUGCUCCUGGAGUGUAGAGAUUCUAUAUUCUCUUUCAUCUGACUCCCGACAUCACUUCUCCAUAUUGACUGGGGGGCUGUUUUUCGGCUUGGAUUUUUCUUUCUUAAGACCCCGUGGGACCAGAGAAAGAAGAAAAUAGUCAUGCAGGGGAGCUUGCUUCCUGACUUCCCGAGCUGAUGUUGUUGGUAUGAGUUUCUUGUUCCUGCUGUAGUACAUUACUGACAAACGUGGUGGUUUCAAACAAUACAAGUUUACUGUCUUGUAGUUUGGGGGCUAGAGGUCCUAAAAUCAAGGGGUCAGCAGGGCUGCGUUCCUUCUGGAGGCUCUAAGGGAGAACACUUUCCCUGCCUUUUCUGGCUACUGGAAACUGCCAGCACUCCUUGGCUUGUAGCCCCUUCCUCCACCCUCCUCCACCCUCACAGACAGCAGUGCAACAUCUUCAAACCUUUGUCCCUGAGCUCUGCUUCCUUUGUUACAUCUCCUACUCAGACUCUGACUUUCCUGCCUCCUUCUUUCCCUUAAAAGGGCUCUUUUGAUUAAAUGGAUUUGUCAGGAUGAUUUCCCAUCUCAAGAGCCUUAACUGAAUCACAUCUUCAAAGUUCCUUUUGCCAUAAAAGGUCACAGAUUCACAGGUUUCAGGGUUUAGAACAUGGACUUCUUUGGGAGGCUGCUAUUCUGUCUGCUGCACUAUCCUUAAGCCUCACCUCCUAGGAACUCUCUAUUUAGACCACUCAAAAUCCACAUCAAAAAGGCUGAAUCUCUUCCCCACUCAGGCCCCAUUUUCUCCCUAAGGAAUUCUUCUUGCCCUGGUGAAUGACAGCCCCCCACUUCCUGCCCUCGGACAUUCUCCUUCCCAUGGGGGUGAAGGCCUUUGCCUGCCUUAUGAGAUAACUAUAGAAAGACAAAUGGUGAGGCCAACAUCUGGUCAGCACAAACACACUCCUGGCAAAUGCUGUAUCUUUCCUAUCAUCAGCUAAGACCUCAGCAACAGGGGAACAAGAAAGGAUUAGUUAUUCUGUAUUUACUUGUGUCAGCUCUCUCAUUGGCAGAGACCAUUUCUGGGGUUCAAUCCAGGAAGAGGGGUUGGAGGACAAUGCUAAUAUGACCAUACAAUUCUUCUUCACAUCACUGCAACUUUGUUUUCCCUGCACAACUUUAACUCUUCUUUCUACCUAAUUCAGUGAUCACAGAACCAGAGCUGCAACUGGAUGCAAGGGCAGGGAUAAUCCCUAAGCAGGAAACUGUAAGUAUACUUUUGAACUUUUAUGUCAGAAUUCCCAAACGCCUGAUGGGGUAGACUGUGCCUUCAGCCCAUCUGGCAAAAUUGGUCUUGAUAAUGAAUGUAGAUAUAUUAUUGUCUAGUGGUCAAGACAGCCCACUAGUUCUGUAUGUGUGUAAACUCACCCUAUUAAACGGAAGUGAAUUGAGAGAGAAGCACCUGCUAGACCAGUAUUGCUAUCAGCAGUGUGUAUCUGAACAGUGCCAAAACUAACAGCCCUUCUAAAGGUAGAAAAGUUUGGAAAAAAAACAAUGGUAGGCUGGGUGCAGUGGCUCAUGCCUGUAAUCCCGGCACUUUGAGAGGCUGAAGUGGCAGGAUCCCUUGAAUCCAGGAGUUUGAGACUAGCCUGGGCAAGUCUCAGAGAGACUCCAUCUUAUUUUAAAAACAAAACCAAACAAAACAAAACCAAACAAAAUGAAAAACAAUGAUAAAUGGAUAGAAGGAAGAAUAGUAGCUAAGGGUAAAUGAAUGAACAGAUGGGUUAUGAAACAAGGGAAUUCCAAUGUUACAAUGGUGCCUUUAUAAAAAUGAUAUUGUCUUUUAGCUUCAUGCAAAUGCCUGAAAGGAUGAAGCCAUGUAUUGCAAAGACCACUCCUGUUUUUGGGAACCUGACAAUGUUGAAUGGAAACCUGCAAACCUGAGUGGGUGGCAUUGCUCUGGGAGACAUUUUGGUCAUAUAAUGUGAUCAUGACCUGGACCAAAUUGAUAAUGAUUGAGUGAGAUUUUAGUAAUAUGUAUCUUUUGACUUACUUUUCAGGUUACAUCUGCAACCAUACUUCAAUAUGGUGUAGCACUGGCAUCAUGGAUAAGAUUCAAUCCCCUUAUGUGAAUAAGUCUAAUGACGGUACUGCUGUUGAUGACCAAAUAUAUCAGGAAAUGAAGUGAAAGCCUCCUCAGGAUAUAAUGCUGAUGGAAAAUGACUGGCCUUAGGAAACACUAGAUUUUGUUAAUUAUCAUGUAAUUGCUUUACUAAAUAGUUCUGGCCAGGUACGGUGGCUCACACCUGUAAUCUCAGCAUUUUGGGAGGCUGAUAUGGGAGGACUGCUUGAAUCCAGGAGUUUGAGAGACCAGUCUGGGCAAUAUAGUGAGAUCCUGUCUCUACAAAAACUGAAAAACUGAAAAAUAAAAUUAGCCAAGUGUGGUGGUGUGCACCUGUAGCCCCAGCUACGUAGGAGACUGAGGGGAGAGGAUCACUUGAGCUUGAGCUCAGGAGAUCAAGGCUACAGUGAGCUGUGAUCACACCACUGCACUCCAGCCUGGGCAACAGAGAUCCUGUCUCUAAAACCAAAACAAAACAAUAGUUCUGCACAAGUGUAUUAUGAGAUAUAGAUGGUAGUAGAACAAGUCAUCAUAUCAG